CGAGUAGGCCGGACGGUCGCGGGCGCGGGCGCCGAAAGGUUGCGCCCGAGGAAAGUCCGGGCUCCGCAGGGCGAGGCGCUGGGUAAUGCCCAGCGGGGGCAACCCCAGGGAAAGUGCCACAGAAACGGACCGCCGGCGGGAAGCAAGGGUCGUUGCAGAGGGACGCCUCUAAUUGGUGGAGGGGACCGCUUACAGCCCUGGCUUCCCGUUUUGACCGGCAAGGGUGAAAAGGUGGUGCAAGAGACCACCGGCGGUCGGGCGACCGGCCGGCCGGGCAAACCCCGCCUGGAGAAAGACCAAAUAGGAGGGGGAUGACGCUGCCCGCUGAUUCCCUCGGGUAUGGUCGCUCGAAGCGUCGGGCAACCGGCGCUCCAGAUAGAUGACCGUCCACGACAGAACCCGGCUUACAGGCCUACUCAACCC
This 423-nucleotide RNase P RNA is filed under the name Bacillota bacterium. RNAcentral's name for it is "RNase P RNA component class A". It matches the Rfam family "Bacterial RNase P class A". From Rfam's summary of the family: Ribonuclease P (RNase P) is a ubiquitous endoribonuclease, found in archaea, bacteria and eukarya as well as chloroplasts and mitochondria. Its best characterised activity is the generation of mature 5'-ends of tRNAs by cleaving the 5'-leader elements of precursor-tRNAs. Cellular RNase Ps are ribonucleoproteins. Lineage: Bacteria; Bacillati; Bacillota. The record is from RNAcentral.